This 497-nucleotide ribosomal RNA is filed under the name uncultured bacterium. RNAcentral describes it as "partial 16S ribosomal RNA". It matches the Rfam family "Bacterial small subunit ribosomal RNA", at positions 28 to 507 of the family's 1533-position model. The record is from RNAcentral.
GAUGAACGCUGGCGGCGUGCCUAAUACAUGCAAGUCGAGCGAACAGACGAGGAGCUUGCUCCUCUGACGUUAGCGGCGGACGGGUGAGUAACACGUGGAUAACCUACCUAUAAGACUUGGAUAACUUCGGGAAACCGGAGCUAAUACCGGAUAACAUGUUGAACCGCAUGGUUCAACAGUGAAAGACGGUCUUGCUGUCACUUAUAGAUGGAUCCGCGCCGCCUUAGCUAGUUGGUAAGGUAACGGCUUACCAAGGCGACGAUGCGUAGCCGACCUGAGAGAAUGAGAGGCAACACGGGAACGGAGACAAGGACAAGACUCAGACGGGAGGAAGAAGUGGGGAAGAUUGGAAAAUGGGCGAAAGACUGAACCAGACAUACCGCGUGGGUGAAGAAGGGCUUCGGGUUGUAAAGCCCUGUUGUUGGGAAAGAAAAGAAGAAGGUUAAAAACCCGCUGUUCUGACGGUACAAAAAGAAUAAGCACCGGCUAACUUCGUG